This 264-nucleotide ribosomal RNA is filed under the name uncultured bacterium. RNAcentral's name for it is "partial 16S ribosomal RNA". It matches the Rfam family "Bacterial small subunit ribosomal RNA", at positions 524 to 787 of the family's 1533-position model. The record is from RNAcentral.
UACGUAGGGGGCAAGCGUUGUCCGGAAUCAUUGGGCGUAAAGCGCGUGUAGGCGGUUCGGUAAGUCGGCUGUGAAAGUCCAGGGCUCAACCCUGGGAUGCCGGUCGAUACUGCCGGACUAGAGUUCGGAAGAGGCGAGUGGAAUUCCCGGUGUAGCGGUGAAAUGCGCAGAUAUCGGGAGGAACACCAAUGGCGAAGGCAGCUCGCUGGGACGUUACUGACGCUGAGACGCGAAAGCGUGGGGAGCAAACAGGAUUAGAAACCC